GAUGAAGAAAGUAGUGAAAUGCGAUACGUAAUGUGAAUUGCAAAUUCAGUGAAUCAUCGAGUCUUUGAACGCACAUUGCGCCCCCUGGUAUUCCGGGGGGCAUGCCUGUCCGAGCGUCAUUGCUGCCCUCAAGCACGGCUUGUGUGUUGGGCCCCGUCCUCCGAUCCCGGGGGACGGGCCCGAAAGGCAGCGGCGGCACCGCGUCCGGUCCUCGAGCGUAUGGGGCUUUGUCACCCGCUCUGUAGGCCCGGCCGGCGCUUGCCGAUCAACCCAAAUUUUUAUCCAGGUUGACCUCGGAUCAGGUAGGGAUACCCGCUGAACUUAAGCAUAUCAAUAAGCGGAGGA
Molecule: unclassified non-coding RNA, 345 nt
Filed under: soil metagenome
Description: partial contains 5.8S ribosomal RNA, internal transcribed spacer 2, and large subunit ribosomal RNA
Rfam family: 5.8S ribosomal RNA (bases 1-119)
Source: RNAcentral